GACGAACGCUGGCGGCGUGCUUAACACAUGCAAGUCGAACGGAAAGGCCCUGCUUGCAGGGUACUCGAGUGGCGAACGGGUGAGUAACACGUGGGUGAUCUGCCCUGCACUUCGGGAUAAGCCUGGGAAACUGGGUCUAAUACCGGAUAGGAGCCAUUUUUAGUGUGAUGGUUGGAAAGUUUUUUCGGUGUAGGAUGAGCUCGCGGCCUAUCAGCUUGUUGGUGGGGUAAUGGCCUACCAAGGCGGCGACGGGUAGCCGGCCUGAGAGGGUGGACGGCCACAUUGGGACUGAGAUACGGCCCAGACUCCUACGGGAGGCAGAAGGGGGGAAUAUUGCACAAGGGGCGCAAGCCUGAUGCAGCGCCGCCGCGGGGGGGAUGACGGCCUUCGGGUUGUAAACCCCUUUCGCUAGGGACGAAGCUUUUUGGGACGGUACCUAGAUAAGAAGCCCCGGCUAAAUACGG
Molecule: ribosomal RNA, 464 nt
Filed under: uncultured bacterium
Lineage: Bacteria
Description: partial 16S ribosomal RNA
Rfam family: Bacterial small subunit ribosomal RNA
Source: RNAcentral